UGGCAUCCCUCCUUGAACUGCCUACUGAGC
This 30-nucleotide non-coding RNA is filed under the name Homo sapiens (human). The record is from RNAcentral. Lineage: Eukaryota; Metazoa; Chordata; Mammalia; Primates; Hominidae.